Molecule: ribosomal RNA, 1373 nt
Filed under: uncultured bacterium
Lineage: Bacteria
Description: bacterial SSU rRNA
Rfam family: Bacterial small subunit ribosomal RNA
Source: RNAcentral
GAUGAACGCUGGCGGCGUGCCUAAUACAUGCAAGUCGAGCGAACGGACGAGAAGCUUGCUUCUCUGAUGUUAGCGGCGGACGGGUGAGUAACACGUGGAUAACCUACCUAUAAGACUGGGAUAACUUCGGGAAACCGGAGCUAAUACCGGAUAAUAUUUUGAACCGCAUGGUUCAAAAGUGAAAGACGGUCUUGCUGUCACUUAUAGAUGGAUCCGCGCUGCAUUAGCUAGUUGGUAAGGUAACGGCUUACCAAGGCAACGAUGCAUAGCCGACCUGAGAGGGUGAUCGGCCACACUGGAACUGAGACACGGUCCAGACUCCUACGGGAGGCAGCAGUAGGGAAUCUUCCGCAAUGGGCGAAAGCCUGACGGAGCAACGCCGCGUGAGUGAUGAAGGUCUUCGGAUCGUAAAACUCUGUUAUUAGGGAAGAACAUAUGUGUAAGUAACUGUGCACAUCUUGACGGUACCUAAUCAGAAAGCCACGGCUAACUACGUGCCAGCAGCCGCGGUAAUACGUAGGUGGCAAGCGUUAUCCGGAAUUAUUGGGCGUAAAGCGCGCGUAGGCGGUUUUUUAAGUCUGAUGUGAAAGCCCACGGCUCAACCGUGGAGGGUCAUUGGAAACUGGAAAACUUGAGUGCAGAAGAGGAAAGUGGAAUUCCAUGUGUAGCGGUGAAAUGCGCAGAGAUAUGGAGGAACACCAGUGGCGAAGGCGACUUUCUGGUCUGUAACUGACGCUGAUGUGCGAAAGCGUGGGGAUCAAACAGGAUUAGAUACCCUGGUAGUCCACGCCGUAAACGAUGAGUGCUAAGUGUUAGGGGGUUUCCGCCCCUUAGUGCUGCAGCUAACGCAUUAAGCACUCCGCCUGGGGAGUACGACCGCAAGGUUGAAACUCAAAGGAAUUGACGGGGACCCGCACAAGCGGUGGAGCAUGUGGUUUAAUUCGAAGCAACGCGAAGAACCUUACCAAAUCUUGACAUCCUUUGACAACUCUAGAGAUAGAGCCUUCCCCUUCGGGGGGGCAAAGUGACAGGUGGUGCAUGGUUGUCGUCAGCUCGUGUCGUGAGAUGUUGGGUUAAGUCCCGCAACGAGCGCAACCCUUAAGCUUAGUUGCCAUCAUUAAGUUGGGCACUCUAAGUUGACUGCCGGUGACAAACCGGAGGAAGGUGGGGAUGACGUCAACUCAUCAUGCCCCUUAUGAUUUGGGCUACACACGUGCUACAAUGGACAAUACAAAGGGCAGCGAAACCGCGAGGUCAAGCAAAUCCCAUAAAGUUGUUCUCAGUUCGGAUUGUAGUCUGCAACUCGACUACAUGAAGCUGGAAUCGCUAGUAAUCGUAGAUCAGCAUGCUACGGUGAAUACGUUCCCGGGUCU